GUAAAGCGUGCGCAGGCGGUUUUGUAAGACUGUCGUGAAAUCCCCGGGCUCAACCUGGGAAUGGCGAUGGUGACUGCAAGGCUAGAGUUUGGCAGAGGGGGGUAGAAUUCCACGUGUAGCAGUGAAAUGCGUAGAUAUGUGGAGGAACACCGAUGGCGAAGGCAGCCCCCUGGGUCAAAACUGACGCUCAUGCACGAAAGCGUGGGGAGCAAACAGGAUUAGUACCCAGU
RNAcentral lists this ribosomal RNA (230 nucleotides) under uncultured bacterium. Its description in RNAcentral is "partial 16S ribosomal RNA". It matches the Rfam family "Bacterial small subunit ribosomal RNA", at positions 560 to 790 of the family's 1533-position model. The record is from RNAcentral.